Molecule: ribosomal RNA, 696 nt
Filed under: Heyndrickxia coagulans
Lineage: Bacteria; Bacillati; Bacillota; Bacilli; Caryophanales; Bacillaceae
Description: bacterial SSU rRNA
Rfam family: Bacterial small subunit ribosomal RNA
Source: RNAcentral
CAAAAUCCCGCCGACUAUAAUGCAGUCGUGCGGACCUUUUAAAGCUUGCUUUUAAAAGGUUAGCGGCGGACGGGUGAGUAACACGUGGGCAACCUGCCUGUAAGAUCGGGAUAACGCCGGGAAACCGGGGCUAAUACCGGAUAGUUUUUUCCUCCGCAUGGAGGAAAAAGGAAAGACGGCUUCUGCUGUCACUUACAGAUGGGCCCGCGGCGCAUUAGCUAGUUGGUGGGGUAACGGCUCACCAAGGCAACGAUGCGUAGCCGACCUGAGAGGGUGAUCGGCCACAUUGGGACUGAGACACGGCCCAAACUCCUACGGGAGGCAGCAGUAGGGAAUCUUCCGCAAUGGACGAAAGUCUGACGGAGCAACGCCGCGUGAGUGAAGAAGGCCUUCGGGUCGUAAAACUCUGUUGCCGGGGAAGAACAAGUGCCGUUCGAACAGGGCGGCGCCUUGACGGUACCCGGCCAGAAAGCCACGGCUAACUACGUGCCAGCAGCCGCGGUAAUACGUAGGUGGCAAGCGUUGUCCGGAAUUAUUGGGCGUAAAGCGCGCGCAGGCGGCCUCUUAAGUCUGAUGUGAAAUCUUGCGGCUCAACCGCAAGCGGUCAUUGGAAACUGGCAGGCUUGAGUGCAGAACAGGAGAGUGGAAUUCCACGGGUAUGGGCGCAUCGCGUACAGCUGUGAAGUAACAGCUGUG